UCGAGUGCAUAAUUUUAGAGACCACGGGAGCGCGUGCCGAGGCGCGUCGCUGCGCCUUCUGGCGGCUGCGCGGCUCUGUCCGGGAGCGCGUACUGCGCACGCUCGUCCCAUAUCACCCGGCAGCCUGUCCUUUCGCUCGUUUCAACGGCGCGCAUCUCGAAACGAUGCGGACGGCGCAAGGUGCCACUUCUGUAGUCGCUGUGAAGACAAUAAAAAAAGCCGAGCGCUAAUGUGACGACAGCACAUCAUUUGCGGCUUUCGGCGUGCUGCACCUAGUGCACGUUACUCCUAGGCGAUCUGCGGCGUGAUCACAUUUUGAAUGUCGAGUUAGGCAAUCAAUAAGCUCAGCCAGCAGUGUUGCCUUUUGCGCUCUCAUUCGCCGAACUAACGCACGUAGUAAUACUCGGUCCAAAUAUCAUGUGUCUAUGAACAUGCAUGAAACCACCAAACGUCCAACAGCUGCAGAAAAGAGCCGAGGAAGAAAGGUGAAAACAAACUCGGUUUAUUAAGGAUAAAUCCUUUAUUAAGGCCGCUGCGGUGGUGCAGUGGUUUCGAUGCUCGGCUGCUGACCCGAAAGACGCAUCUUCAAGAGCGGACCUGAACCCCAUUGAAAACGUCUGGGGUCUCGUGAAACGCCGACUUGCGGCGCGGAAUCUUGGAAGUUCAACGAAGGAGACCCUAUUCGCGGCCAUACAGGAGGAAUGGGAAGCACUUCGUGCACGCCCCGAGAUCGUGGCCGCGCUUUACAAUUCGAUGCCAUCUCGUGUGGCGCAAGUGAUUGCCGCCGAUGGGCGUUUGAUUAAAUACUGAAAGUAGUGAUCCUUCCUGGAUAGCAGUUAUAGCUAUCGUUUUCUUUUUUUUUCUGGCUUAUAAGAAUAAACUGUUUAUUUAUCG
Molecule: long non-coding RNA, 894 nt
Organism: Rhipicephalus sanguineus (brown dog tick)
Lineage: Eukaryota; Metazoa; Arthropoda; Arachnida; Ixodida; Ixodidae
Exons: 2
Source: RefSeq, a predicted model, not a curated record